This 2057-nucleotide unclassified non-coding RNA is filed under the name Hevea brasiliensis (rubber tree). Lineage: Eukaryota; Viridiplantae; Streptophyta; Magnoliopsida; Malpighiales; Euphorbiaceae. The record is from RNAcentral.
UUCCUAAUUAAUUCUAAUUUAAUGCUACAGCUGUUGGAAUUCUUCACAAGAUGUCCUACGUGAAAUUUGCUACCUAGAAAAAUCAACUUUGCCCAAACUUGAUAAAAAUUGCUAUUUUUUACCCUUUUCACACCAGCAUGCUUUCAUUGUUGCUUGACUUCUUCACUAAAAAAUGUCCCGCAUCAGUUAGGGCUACUACCUAACAGAACUUUGUUGCACGUUAAUGUGCCUUUCACAUUUUGCUUCAGAAGUUACAUAAUGGCAUUGUGUUUUGAUCAUUUAUAGCUUAAUGCUGUGCAUGGCUAGAAGUUUAACGGUAGGAGAGGGAGAAGAAUGGAGGGGAAUUCCCCUUAUCAUCUGGUUUGGCUUUCAAAUUUUUCUUUGGGGUUGGGGUUGGGGGAGGGGAUGGGUUCUGGGUUCUCAAUCCUGUAUAUCAUAAUAGGGGCUCCCUGUCAUCAUUGCUGUGUUCUAUUACUUGAUGUUGGAGAAACUUUUAUGUAUGAAAGUUUUGAUAAAGUAGUUAAACUAUGAAAAACAUUCAAUAGAAAAUAAUAUCUUCUUCCUCAAUUCUAUUUGAUGUUUUGUAUUUUUGCGUGUCAUUAAGGUUGAAGCUUUUUCAUCAUCCUGGUGUUUUACAUAAGGGAAAAGAAAAAUAAAGAAAAUUACUUGAAUGUAUGAAGAUAAAAAGACAGUAAAAGAAAAUAGAAAGUUUUCUGACCUCCAUUUUAAUCAUCAUUAAAAAUGAUGAGAAACUUUUGUUAACUGACAAGUUUAUAUACAAUGAACAUGUUGGCAGAUAUGUCUUACGUUUUUCUGCUGAUUCAUACAAGAUUAGAGAAUAGAGAUCUGAGGAUGAUCCUUUAACUGGUUGUAAGUGGAAGUGUGACCCUUAAAACUAGAGAGAUACAUGAUGGUGUAAUGGACUUUUCUUUCUGUGUCUGAUCUAGGUUGACUGUUGGAUGUGUUUCUCCUUUGUGUAUAUGUUUUAUUGUAUUAUCUUGUAAUGAAAUUUUGGGUUCUGAAUUGCAGGUAAUAUAAGACAUUUAUGGAUGCAAAAGAAGCUCGCACUGAGGUUUCUCAGGAGCAGGCCAGGGAGUUGCUCAUUGGAAUAUCUUACUCCCUACCAGAUAAGGUUCAGAAUUCAGAAGUGCAGGAAAUUUUGACGGGUAAAGAGAGUGUUUCAAGGACAAACAGCGAUGGAGUGGAUAAGUAUAGAUCUGAACUGAUUUCUAUCUCUUACUGCCCAUCUCCUGAUAUGACACCAUCACCUGUGGCAUUAGGAAAACCAUGAUGGUUAGCAUGGAUCUCUUCUUUUCCCUACUUUUCUAAUAGGCUGCAAGGACUCUUUUAUCUUGUCAUAAAAGUUUAUUGUAACGUGUUCUCCUGGUUUGGUGUGUUGUUGAGCUUGCUAUGGUUUAAAUGUUUUUGCAUCCAAUGUUGGGUUGCUGUCUGUUGAUGUCAAUAGUAAGGGGAAGAUAUGAAGCAUCUUUUCCAUACGUAUCUAACGUGUAAUAUUACAGUAAAGAUAUGUUAUAAUUGGGGAUUUGGUCUUAUUUUAUCCCUGAUACUUUCUUUUUAUUGUUCACAUUGAAAAGCUAUUUUCUUGCUUUUACUAAGAUACAUCAUGAUUCUGCAUAGAAUUGUUUGAUUGUAAUAGCUGCAGUUCCCUUCUCUCUCUGAUUGGAGUACAUGAGGUGAGAGCAUAUUUUCUUUUUUUUUCCUUCUUUCACUAAAAAUUGAAUUGAAUUUUAGCAUUAAUCAGAAAUGUUCAUUCUUUCCUUGCUUAAUGAUUUGACCACAACGGUGGUUUUGAGGAUUAUCCAUUCCCCUUUCCCUUUAGUUUCCCCAUUAUAGUGUAAAAUUUGCUUGACAGGUUUAGUAGAUGAUUCAUCAGACGGCUGUUUGCGAGCAGAGCUAUAAAAUGUAGAAAGAAUAAUUAAUUUAAUUUGUGUUGUUUUUUAACUAUAUAUAUAUAUAUGCCUUGUAUUAUGAUAAUGGUUAAGAUUAGGAAUAAUCACAUUCACCAAACAAUGUAUGGAAGAUGCAUUGGGGAUAAA